Molecule: transfer RNA, 81 nt
Filed under: Ankistrodesmus falcatus
Lineage: Eukaryota; Viridiplantae; Chlorophyta; Chlorophyceae; Sphaeropleales; Selenastraceae
Description: tRNA-Tyr
Rfam family: tRNA
About the family: Transfer RNA (tRNA) molecules are approximately 80 nucleotides in length. Their secondary structure includes four short double-helical elements and three loops (D, anti-codon, and T loops).
Source: RNAcentral
CUUGGUGGCUGAGUUGGUUAAAGGCGCUAGACUGUAAAUCUAGUGACAUUGUCUACGCAGGUUCGAAUCCUGCCCAAGUCA